This 612-nucleotide ribosomal RNA is filed under the name uncultured bacterium. Its description in RNAcentral is "bacterial SSU rRNA". It matches the Rfam family "Bacterial small subunit ribosomal RNA", at positions 338 to 951 of the family's 1533-position model. The record is from RNAcentral.
CCUACGGGAGGCAGCAGUAAGGAAUAUUGGUCAAUGGACGAAAGUCUGAACCAGCCAUGCCGCGUGAAGGAUUAAGGCCCUCUGGGUUGUAAACUUCUUUUAUCUGGGACGAAAAAAGGGUAUUCUUACUCACUUGACGGUACCAGAGGAAUAAGCACCGGCUAACUCCGUGCCAGCAGCCGCGGUAAUACGGAGGGUGCAGGCGUUAUCCGGAUUUACUGGGUUUAAAGGGUGCGUAGGUGGGCUUGUAAGUCAGUGGUGAAAUCUCCGGGCUUAACCCGGAAACUGCCAUUGAUACUAUAGGUCUUGAAUUAUCUGGAGGUAAGCGGAAUAUGUCAUGUAGCGGUGAAAUGCUUAGAUAUGACAUAGAACACCAAUUGCGAAGGCAGCUUACUACGGAUAUAUUGACACUGAGGCACGAAAGCGUGGGGAUCAAACAGGAUUAGAUACCCUGGUAGUCCACGCCCUAAACGAUGGAUACUCGACAUCAGCGAUACACUGUUGGUGUCUGAGCGAAAGCAUUAAGUAUCCCACCUGGGAAGUACGAUCGCAAGAUUGAAACUCAAAGGAAUUGACGGCUGAGAGNGACGACGACGACGACGAGGGAGGAGG